UGAAGCCAAGCUUGCUUGGUGGAUCAGUGGCGAACGGGUGAGUAACACGUGAGCAACCUGCCCUGGACUCUGGGAUAAGCGCUGGAAACGGUGUCUAAUACUGGAUAUGAGCUCUCAUCGCAUGGUGGGGGUUGGAAAGAUUUUUCGGUCUGGGAUGGGCUCGCGGCCUAUCAGCUUGUUGGUGAGGUAAUGGCUCACCAAGGCGUCGACGGGUAGCCGGCCUGAGAGGGUGACCGGCCACACUGGGACUGAGACACGGCCCAGACUCCUACGGGAGGCAGCAGUGGGGAAUAUUGCACAAUGGGCGGAAGCCUGAUGCAGCAACGCCGCGUGAGGGAUGACGGCCUUCGGGUUGUAAACCUCUUUUAGCAGGGAAGAAGCGAGAGUGACGGUACCUGCAGAAAAAGCGCCGGCUAACUACGUGCCAGCAGCCGCGGUAAUACGUAGGGCGCAAGCGUUAUCCGGAAUUAUUGGGCGUAAAGAGCUCGUAGGCGGUUUGUCGCGUCUGCUGUGAAAUCCCGAGGCUCAACCUCGGGCCUGCAGUGGGUACGGGCAGACUAGAGUGCGGUAGGGGAGAUUGGAAUUCCUGGUGUAGCGGUGGAAUGCGCAGAUAUCAGGAGGAACACCGAUGGCGAAGGCAGAUCUCUGGGCCGUAACUGACGCUGAGGAGCGAAAGGGUGGGGAGCAAACAGGCUUAGAUACCCUGGUAGUCCACCCCGUAAACGUUGGGAACUAGUUGUGGGGACCAU
RNAcentral lists this ribosomal RNA (749 nucleotides) under Microbacterium aurantiacum. Its description in RNAcentral is "partial 16S ribosomal RNA". It matches the Rfam family "Bacterial small subunit ribosomal RNA", at positions 70 to 832 of the family's 1533-position model. Lineage: Bacteria; Bacillati; Actinomycetota; Actinomycetes; Micrococcales; Microbacteriaceae. The record is from RNAcentral.